UACGUAGGGACCAAGCGUUGUUCGGAUUUACUGGGCGUAAAGCGUGCGCAGGCGGCGCGUUAAGACAGGUGUGAAAGCCCCGAGCUUAACUUGGGAAUUGCGCUUGUGACUGGCGUGCUGGAGUGUGGCAGAGGGAGGUGGAAUUCCACGUGUAGCAGUGAAAUGCGUAGAGAUGUGGAGGAACACCAGUGGCGAAGGCGACUCUUUGGCCUGUAACUGACACUGAGGCGCGAAAGCGUGGGGAGCAAACAGG
Molecule: ribosomal RNA, 253 nt
Filed under: uncultured bacterium
Lineage: Bacteria
Description: partial 16S ribosomal RNA
Rfam family: Bacterial small subunit ribosomal RNA
Source: RNAcentral